Molecule: long non-coding RNA, 217 nt
Filed under: Elaeis guineensis (African oil palm)
Lineage: Eukaryota; Viridiplantae; Streptophyta; Magnoliopsida; Arecales; Arecaceae
Description: long non-coding RNA (EGUI_LNC052467)
Source: RNAcentral
GGUGUAGUUCAUGAAGUCCUUUUUGUGGAGGUCCCGAAAGCGAGCAGCCUCCACAGUGACUUUCGAAUGGCACUUCCUCAGUCGGUGAAGUUUGUCAUCUGACUUCUUUGAUUUUUUUAUCAGGUGACGAACCUCCCUUCUGAGGUCCCAGACCAUCGACUUUAGAGGAAUCCCCUGUGGUAGGGGGAGAGCUUCGACGGGGCACUAUCGUUGGAAG